CCAGUAGUUGUGGCUUUGCUCUCUUUCGAUCUAUAGUACACCACUACAGCCUCUAGGUGGCGCUAAAACACUCCAUGUGGGUUUGUAGAGAGAGGGUUGAUAUAUGCAAUUGUUGAUGUUGUUGCUCCUUGCAUUUGCAUCAUAAAACAUUUCUGAUGACAAUGAUUACAUUGAAGAUGAUACCAUUCGCGUUGAUAUAGAACGCAGAUCUAAUGAAACCAAUCAAGGGUGAUGGCGGACUAACUGUAGAUAGAUAGUGGUAUUGGGUAGACUUAUGGGCAUGGCUGGUGAGACCUAGUCGAGAGAUGGCUUAAUGGGGGUUUGGGGUGCUGUGGACAGGGGGAGUGUCCAAGUCAAGAGAUGGCUUAACGGGGGUUUGGGGUGCUGUGGACAGGGGGAGUGUCCUAGUCAAGAGAUGGCUUAACGGGGGUUUGGGGUGCUGUGGACAGGGGAGUUGUCCUAGUCAAGAGAUGGCUUAAUGGGGG
Oncorhynchus tshawytscha (Chinook salmon) is the source of this 485-nucleotide long non-coding RNA. NCBI's taxonomy places the organism in Eukaryota, Metazoa, Chordata, Actinopteri, Salmoniformes, Salmonidae. The record is from Ensembl.